AAAUUGAAGAGUUUGAUCAUGGCUCAGAUUGAACGCUGGCGGCAGGCCUAACACAUGCAAGUCGAGCGGUAGCACAGAGAGCUUGCUCUCGGGUGACGAGCGGCGGACGGGUGAGUAAUGUCUGGGAAACUGCCUGAUGGAGGGGGAUAACUACUGGAAACGGUAGCUAAUACCGCAUAACGUCGCAAGACCAAAGUGGGGACCUUCGGGCCUCAUGCCAUCAGAUGUGCCCAGAUGGGAUUAGCUAGUAGGUGGGGUAACGGCUCACCUAGGCGACGAUCCCUAGCUGGUCUGAGAGGAUGACCCCACACUGGAACUGAGACACGGUCCAGACUCCUACGGGAGGCAGCAGUGGGGAAUAUUGCACAAUGGGCGCAAGCCUGAUGCAGCCAUGCCGCGUGUGUGAAGAAGGCCUUCGGGUUGUAAAGCACUUUCAGCGGGGAGGAAGGCGGUGAGGUUAAUAACCUCACCGAUUGACGUUACCCGCAGAAGAAGCACCGGCUAACUCCGUGCCAGCAGCCGCGGUAAUACGGAGGGUGCAAGCGUUAAUCGGAAUUACUGGGCGUAAAGCGCACGCAGGCGGUCUGUCAAGUCGGAUGUGAAAUCCCCGGGCUCAACCUGGGAACUGCAUUCGAAACUGGCAGGCUAGAGUCUUGUAGAGGGGGUAGAAUUCCAGGUGUAGCGGUGAAAUGCGUAGAGAUCUGGAGGAAUACCGGUGGCGAAGGCGGCCCCCUGGACAAAGACUGACGCUCAGGUGCGAAAGCGUGGGGAGCAAACAGGAUUAGAUACCCUGGUAGUCCACGCUGUAAACGAUGUCGAUUUGGAGGUUGUGCCCUUGAGGCGUGGCUUCCGGAGCUAACGCGUUAAAUCGACCGCCUGGGGAGUACGGCCGCAAGGUUAAAACUCAAAUGAAUUGACGGGGCCCGCACAAGCGGUGGAGCAUGUGGUUUAAUUCGAUGCAACGCGAAGAACCUUACCUGGUCUUGACAUCCACAGAACUUAGCAGAGAUGCUUUGGUGCCUUCGGGAACUGUGAGACAGGUGCUGCAUGGCUGUCGUCAGCUCGUGUUGUGAAAUGUUGGGUUAAGUCCCGCAACGAGCGCAACCCUUAUCCUUUGUUGCCAGCGGUUAGGCCGGGAACUCAAAGGAGACUGCCAGUGAUAAACUGGAGGAAGGUGGGGAUGACGUCAAGUCAUCAUGGCCCUUACGACCAGGGCUACACACGUGCUACAAUGGCAUAUACAAAGAGAAGCGACCUCGCGAGAGCAAGCGGACCUCAUAAAGUAUGUCGUAGUCCGGAUUGAGUCUGCAACUCGACUCCAUGAAGUCGGAAUCGCUAGUAAUCGUAGAUCAGAAUGCUACGGUGAAUACGUUCCCGGGCCUUGUACACACCGCCCGUCACACCAUGGGAGUGGGUUGCAAAAGAAGUAGGUAGCUUAACCUUCGGGAGGGCGCUUACCACUUUGUGAUUCAUGACUGGGGUGAAGUCGUAACAAGGUAACCGUAGGGGAACCUGCGGUUGGAUCACCUCCUUA
This 1534-nucleotide ribosomal RNA is filed under the name Klebsiella pneumoniae. Its description in RNAcentral is "bacterial SSU rRNA". It matches the Rfam family "Bacterial small subunit ribosomal RNA". Lineage: Bacteria; Pseudomonadati; Pseudomonadota; Gammaproteobacteria; Enterobacterales; Enterobacteriaceae. The record is from RNAcentral.